Long non-coding RNA from Colius striatus (speckled mousebird), 946 nucleotides. RefSeq lists it as uncharacterized. NCBI's taxonomy places the organism in Eukaryota, Metazoa, Chordata, Aves, Coliiformes, Coliidae. The record is from RefSeq and is a predicted model, not a curated record. The transcript has 3 exons.
GCGGGCUGAAGGCGGGCAGCUCCGCCUCGGCGUGGCUGGGGCUGCGUGAGGGGAAUGUGGCGCCGGCGGCCUGAGCUCAACACACAAGACCUGUGUGGAGAGACUACGUCCAUACUGAUGGUGCAGAGUACUCCCUCCUCCCUGCUGCUGUUUGGUGUGGUGGGCACAGGAAGACCCUUCCCACACCUGACUCCAACCUGAAUGGACACAAUCCUGGGCAGCAUCCUGUUGUGGCUGACCUUCCUUUGGAGUAAGCAACCUCCAGAGCUUCCUGCCAACCUCAGCCUUCCUGGGAUUCCCAACUGGAAGGCUAAAAACAAAGUCUGAGUGCUCAGUGUGCCAGCAAUACCCAUUUCCAGACCAAAGGGACUCUCAGUUGCUUCUCAGAGCCCUGAGCAGUGCUGCUGUGAUUCCAGGCUGUGCUCUAACAUCUCUCCCCAGAAGCAGACCUGGAAGGCUGCAGGUCACAGUCAGACAGGCAAACCCCACAGGGCUCACAGCUACCCAGAUGAUGCUCCCAUCUCAGCCAGAGCCCACAGGGAGCAAGCCAGAGGGAAAAGGGUUCUACCUAUUUCUGCCCACCCUCUGCCCAUUAGCACUGCUGCUCACACAGAGCAGGUGUCUCAGAGCUGUUCUUAUGUAACAAACUAUGCCUGGAAAACAUAAUGAAGUCAUUUGAUCUCUAAUUUGCACUUGUUGGGGUGAGCUAUCACUGAAUAAUCACAGGGAAAGAGGAUGAGAUUUGGGCUCGUGUCUCCUGGCAGUGCUGGCCCAGAGCAUGGAGUGCAGUGGGACCAGAGACCACCCCGUGUUUCAGGGGGGUGAGCUGCAGCUGCAGCCCUGCACACUGUGCCUCAGCUUCCCAGCCCUGGGAUCUGUCCAGUCUGGCCUCACAGGGUGUUUGCUGUGUGGUGGUUGUCUCUGAAUAAACAUGCUUUUUAUUUCC